CAAGCCAUUUAGUGCUUCAACGCAAUGUUUCCGAGUUCUUAGCCCAUUUGGGACCCAAUUUCAACAAGUGUUUCUCCAAACUUCUAAACGCUCUUCAUGAUGUUGUAGCACUUGUAAUCAAUAGAACUUAUUGUAUUCUAACAUAUUCUAACCCCAAAAAACAGUAGACAAGCCAUUUAAUGCUUGAAAGCAAAGGUUGUGGGUUCUUAGCCCAUUUUGGAUCAAAUUUCAGCAAGUCUUUCUACACUCUUCUAAACAAUCUUCAUCCAUCUCUAGCACUUGAGAUGAAUCAAUUUCAUUGUAUUCUAACAUAUGUUUUACCCCAAACAGCACAACACAAGCCAUUUACUAGUUCAACGCAAUGUUUCCGAGUUCUUAGCCCAUUUGGGAAUAAAUUUCAACAAGUCUUUCUCCAAACUUCUAAACACUCUUCAUGAUGCUCUAGCACUUGUAAUAAAUCAAACUUAUUGUAUUCUAACAUAUUAUAACUCUAAAAACAUUAGACAAGCCAAUUAAUGCUUGAAAGCAAUGGUUGUGGGUUCUUAGCCCAUCUCGACCCAAAUUUCAGCAAGUCUUUCUACACUCUUCUAAACACUCUUCAUGCAUGUCUAGCACUUGUAGUCAAUCAAAUACAUUGUAUUAUAACAUAAUAUUACCCCAAACAACACUAGACAAGCCAUUUACUGGUUCGACGCAAAGUUUCCGAGUUCUUAGCCCAUUUGGGAGCAAAUUUCAAGAACGCUUUCUCCACACAUCUAAACAUUCUUCAUGCAUAUCAAGCACUUGUGAUCAAUCAAACUUAUUGUAUUCUAACAUAUUCUAACCCCAAAAAACACUAGACAAGCCAUUUAAUGCUUGAAAGCAAUGGUUGUGGUUUCUUAGUUCAUUUCGGCCUAAAUUUCAGCAAGUAUUUCUACAAUCUUCUAAACACUCUUCAUGCUUCUCUAGCAGUUGUAAUCAAUCAAAUUAAUUUUAUUCUAACAUUACCCAAAACAACACUAGCCAAGCCAUUUAUUGCUUCAACGCAAUGUUUCCGAGUUCUUAGCCCAUUUGGGACCCAAUUUGAACAAGUCUUUCUCCACGCAUCUAAACACUCUUCAUGCAUCUCUAGAACUUGUAAUCAAUCAAAAUUAAUGUAUUCUAACCUAUUCUAACCCCGAAGAACACUAAACAAGCCAUUUAGUGGUUCAACGCAAUGUUUCCGAGUUCUUAGCCCAUUUGGGACCAAAUUUCAACAAGUCUUUCUCCAAACUACUAAACGCUCUUCAUGAUGCUCUAGCACUUGUAAUCAAUAAAACUUAUUGUAUUCUAACAUAUUAUAACCCCAAAAAACAGUAGACAAGCUAUUUAAUGCUUGAAAGCAAUGGUUGUGGGUUCUUAGCCCAUCUCGGCCCAAAUUUUAGCAAGUCUUUCUACACUCUUCUAAACACUCUUCAUGCAUCUCAAGCACUUGUAAUUAAUCAAACUUAUUGUAUUCUAACAUAUUCUAACCCCAAAAAACAGUAGACAAGACAUUUAAUGCUUCAAACAUAUGGUUGUGGGUUCUUAUCCCAUUUCGGCCCAAAUUUCAACAAGUCUUUCUACACUCUUCUAAACACUCUUCAUGCAUCUAUAGAACUUGUAAUCAAUCAAAUUUAAUGUAUCCUAACCUAUUCUAACCCCAAACAACACUAAACAAGCCAUUUAGUGGUGCAACGCAAUGUUUCCGAGUUCUUAGCCCAUUAGGGACCAAAUUUCAACAAGUCUUUCUCCAAACUUCUAAACACUCUUCAUGAUGCUCUAGCACUUGUAAUCAAUCAAACUUAUUGUAUUCUAACAUAUUCUAACCACAAAAACACUAUACAAGCCAUUUAAUGCUUGAAAGCAAUGGUUGUGGGUUCUUAGCUCAU
RNAcentral lists this long non-coding RNA (1889 nucleotides) under Capsella rubella. RNAcentral describes it as "long non-coding RNA (CRUB_LNC000222)". Lineage: Eukaryota; Viridiplantae; Streptophyta; Magnoliopsida; Brassicales; Brassicaceae. The record is from RNAcentral.